RNAcentral lists this ribosomal RNA (491 nucleotides) under uncultured bacterium. Its description in RNAcentral is "partial 16S ribosomal RNA". It matches the Rfam family "Bacterial small subunit ribosomal RNA", at positions 29 to 506 of the family's 1533-position model. The record is from RNAcentral.
AGUGAACGCUGGCGGUAGGCCUAACACAUGCCAGUCGAACGGCAGCACAGUAAGAGCUUGCUCUUACGGGUGGCGAGUGGCGGACAGGUGAGGAAUACAUCGGAAUCUACUUUUUCGUGGGGGAUAACGUAGGGAAACUUACGCUAAUACCGCAUACGACCUACGGGUGAAAGCAGGGGAUCUUCGGACCUUGCGCGAUUGAAUGAGCCGAUGUCGGAUUAGCUAGUUGGCGGGGUAAAGGCCCACCAAGGCGACGAUCCGUAGCUGGUCUGAGAGGAUGAUCAGCCACACUGGAACUGAGACACGGUCCAGACUCCUACGGGAGGCAGCAGUGGGGAAUAUUGGACAAUGGGCGCAAGCCUGAUCCAGCCAUACCGCGUGGGUGAAGAAGGCCUUCGGGCUGUAAAGCCCUUUUGUUGGGAAAGAAAAGCAGCAGGUUAAUACCCCGCUGUUCUGACGGUACCCAAAGAAUAAGCACCGGCUAACUUCGU